ACAGUGGACGCGAGCAUCUGUGGCCAAGUUUUUAAGGGCGCACGGUGGAUGCCUUGGCACCAGGAACCGAUGAAGGACGUGGGAGGCCACGAUAGGCCCCGGGGAGUCGUCAACCAGGCUUUGAUCCGGGGGUGUCCGAAUGGGGAAACCCGGCAGUCGUCAUGGGCUGUCACCCGCUGCUGAACUCAUAGGCAGUGUGGAGGGAACGCGGGGAAGUGAAACAUCUCAGUACCCGCAGGAAGAGAAAACAACCGUGAUUCCGGGAGUAGUGGCGAGCGAAACCGGAUGAGGCCAAACCGUAUACGUGUGAGACCCGGCAGGGGUUGCGUGUGCGGGGUUGUGGGAUCUCUCUUCUGUUGUCUGCCGGCAACAGGACGAGUCAGAAACCGUUGAUGUAGGCGAAGGACAUGCGAAAGGUCCGGCGUAGAGGGUAAGACCCCCGUAGUCGAAACAUCAGCGGCUCGUUUGAGAGACACCCAAGUAGCACGGGGCCCGAGAAAUCCCGUGUGAAUCUGGCGGGACCACCCGCUAAGCCUAAAUAUUCCCUGGUGACCGAUAGCGGAUAGUACCGUGAGGGAAUGGUGAAAAGUACCGCGGGAGCGGAGUGAAAUAGUACCUGAAACCGUGUGCCUACAAGCCGUGGGAGCGUCGCGCAAGGACUUGUCCUUGCGUCGUGACUGCGUGCCUUUUGAAGAAUGAGCCUGCGAGUUUGCGGUGUGUUGCGAGGUUAACCCGGGUGGGGAAGCCGUAGCGAAAGCGAGUCCGAAUAGGGCGCUGUAGUAGCACGCUCAAGACCCGAAGCGGAGUGAUCUAGCCAUGGGCAGGUUGAAGCGGAGGUAAGACUUCGUGGAGGACCGAACCCACCAGGGUUGAAAACCUGGGGGAUGACCUGUGGUUAGGGGUGAAAGGCCAAUCAAACUCCGUGAUAGCUGGUUCUCCCCGAAAUGCAUUUAGGUGCAGCGUCGUGUGUUUCUUGCCGGAGGUAGAGCACUGGAUAGGCGAUGGGCCCUACCGGGUUACUGACCUUAGCCAAACUCCGAAUGCCGGUAAGUGAGAGCGCGGCAGUGAGACUGUGGGGGAUAAGCUCCAUGGUCGAGAGGGAAACAGCCCAGAGCAUCGACUAAGGCCCCUAAGCGUACGCUAAGUGGGAAAGGAUGUGGAGUCGCACAGACAACCAGGAGGUUGGCUUAGAAGCAGCCACCCUUGAAAGAGUGCGUAAUAGCUCACUGGUCUAGUGAUUCCGCGCCGACAAUGUAGCGGGGCUCAAGCGUACCGCCGAAGUCGUGUCAUUGCAGCAUAUACGGUCAACGCCGGCUGUGAUGGGUAGGGGAGCGUCGUGUGCCGGGUGAAGCAGCCGCGGAAGCGAGUUGUGGACGGUUCACGAGUGAGAAUGCAGGCAUGAGUAGCGAUACAAACGUGAGAAACGUUUGCGCCGAUUGACUAAGGGUUCCUGGGUCAAGCUGAUCUGCCCAGGGUAAGUCGGGACCUAAGGCGAGGCCGACAGGCGUAGUCGAUGGAUAACCGGUUGAUAUUCCGGUACCCGCUGUGAAGCGUCAAACAUCGAGCAUCGUGAUGCUAAGGCCGUGAAGCCGCCCUGAUCUCUUCGGAGUUGAGGGGAGUGGUGGAGCCGCUGAACCAAGCGGUUAGUAGGUGAGUGAUGGGGUGACGCAGGAAGGUAGUCCAGCCCGGGCGGUGGUUGUCCCGGGGUAAGGGUGUAGGACGUUGGGUAGGUAAAUCCGCCUGACAUUAAGUCUGAGACCUGAUGCCGAGCCGAUUGUGGUGAAGUGGAUGAUCCUAUGCUGUCGAGAAAAGCCUCUAGCGAGUUUCAUGGCGGCCCGUACCCUAAACCGACUCAGGUGGUCAGGUAGAGAAUACCGAGGCGUUCGGGUGAACUAUGGUUAAGGAACUCGGCAAAAUGCCCCGUAACUUCGGGAGAAGGGGGGCCAUUUCUGGUGACCGGAUUUACUCCGUGAGCUGGGGGUGGCCGCAGAGACCAGCGAGAAGCGACUGUUUACUAAAAACACAGGUCCGUGCGAAGCCGUAAGGCGAUGUAUACGGACUGACGCCUGCCCGGUGCUGGAACGUUAAGGGGACCGGUUAGCUCCAUUUCGGUGGGGCGAAGCUGAGAACUUAAGCGCCAGUAAACGGCGGUGGUAACUAUAACCAUCCUAAGGUAGCGAAAUUCCUUGUCGGGUAAGUUCCGACCUGCACGAAUGGCGUAACGACUUCUUGACUGUCUCAACCAUAGGCCCGGUGAAAUUGCACUACGAGUAAAGAUGCUCGUUUCGCGCAGCAGGACGGAAAGACCCCGGGACCUUUACUACAGUUUGAUAUUGGUGUUCGGUUCGGCUUGUGUAGGAUAGCUGGGAGACUUUGAAGCUCGCACGCCAGUGUGGGUGGAGUCGUCGUUGAAAUACCAGUCUGGUCGUGCUGGAUGUCUAACCUGGGUCCGUGAUCCGGAUCAGGGACAGUGUCUGAUGGGUAGUUUAACUGGGGCGGUUGCCUCCUAAAGAGUAACGGAGGCGCCCAAAGGUUCCCUCAGCCUGGUUGGCAAUCAGGUGUUGAGUGUAAGUGCACAAGGGAGCUUGACUGUGAGACCGACGGGUCGAGCAGGGACGAAAGUCGGGACUAGUGAUCCGGCGGUGGCUUGUGGAAGCGCCGUCGCUCAACGGAUAAAAGGUACCCCGGGGAUAACAGGCUGAUCUUCCCCAAGAGUCCAUAUCGACGGGAUGGUUUGGCACCUCGAUGUCGGCUCGUCGCAUCCUGGGGCUGGAGUCGGUCCCAAGGGUUGGGCUGUUCGCCCAUUAAAGCGGUACGCGAGCUGGGUUUAGAACGUCGUGAGACAGUUCGGUCCCUAUCCGCUGUGCGCGUAGGAGUCUUGAGAAGGGCUGUCCCUAGUACGAGAGGACCGGGACGGACGAACCUCUGGUGUGCCAGUUGUCCUGCCAAGGGCAUGGCUGGUUGGCUACGUUCGGGAGGGAUAACCGCUGAAAGCAUCUAAGCGGGAAGCCUGCUUCGAGAUGAGGACUCCCACCCACUUGAUGGGGUAAGGCUCCCAGUAGACGACUGGGUUGAUAGGCCGGAUCUGGAAGCACCGUGAGGUGUGGAGGUGACCGGUACUAAUAGGCCGAGGGCUUGUCCUCAGUUG
RNAcentral lists this ribosomal RNA (3148 nucleotides) under Streptomyces olivaceus. RNAcentral's name for it is "bacterial LSU rRNA". It matches the Rfam family "Bacterial large subunit ribosomal RNA". Lineage: Bacteria; Bacillati; Actinomycetota; Actinomycetes; Kitasatosporales; Streptomycetaceae. The record is from RNAcentral.